CAAUAGCGUAUAUUAAUGUUGUUGCAGUUAAAAAGCUCGUAGUUGGAUUUCUGAUGAGAGCCCUGGUCACUUUAACGAGUGUACUGAUGUGGCGUCUUGUCGUUUCAUGGGGAUGCUUGCUGGUAUUAAGUUAUCGGCUUGUGGAUCCAUGUCGUUUACUGUGAAAAAAUUAGAGUGUUCAAAGCGGGCCAUCGCUGUGAAUACAUUAGCAUGGAAUAAUAAGAUAGGACUGUGGUGCUAUUUUGUUGGUUUGCGUACUACGGUAAUGAUUAAUAGGGAUAGUUGGGGGUAUUCAUAUUCAAUUGUCAGAGGUGAAAUUCUUGGAUUUAUGGAAGAUGAACUACUGCGAAAGCAUUUACCAAGGAUGUUCUCAUUAA
This 377-nucleotide ribosomal RNA is filed under the name uncultured eukaryote. RNAcentral describes it as "partial 18S ribosomal RNA". It matches the Rfam family "Eukaryotic small subunit ribosomal RNA", at positions 592 to 976 of the family's 1831-position model. The record is from RNAcentral.